RNAcentral lists this ribosomal RNA (450 nucleotides) under uncultured bacterium. RNAcentral describes it as "partial 16S ribosomal RNA". It matches the Rfam family "Bacterial small subunit ribosomal RNA", at positions 354 to 796 of the family's 1533-position model. The record is from RNAcentral.
GUGGGGAAUUUUGGACAAUGGGCGCAAGCCUGAUCCAGCAAUGCCGCGUGCAGGAAGAAGGCCUUCGGGUUGUAAACUGCUUUUGUACGGAACGAAACGGCUCUGGUUAAUACCCGGGGCUAAUGACGGUACCGUAAGAAUAAGCACCGGCUAACUACGUGCCAGCAGCCGCGGUAAUACGUAGGGUGCAAGCGUUAAUCGGAAUUACUGGGCGUAAAGCGUGCGCAGGCGGUUUUGUAAGACAGGCGUGAAAUCCCCGGGCUCAACCUGGGAAUGGCGCUUGUGACUGCAAAGCUGGAGUGCGGCAGAGGGGGAUGGAAUUCCGCGUGUAGCAGUGAAAUGCGUAGAUAUGCGGAGGAACACCGAUGGCGAAGGCAAUCCCCUGGGCCUGCACUGACGCUCAUGCACGAAAGCGUGGGGAGCAAACAGGAUUAGAAACCCGUGUAGUCC